GGAAGCCCCGUGAGGAGAACAAAUACAUUUGUCUUUACACCGCUGUGUCGCCAGGAGCUGGCACCUGGCAAACGCUGGUAUUUUCUUUUUCUUUUUUUUCUGUAAAUAAGAUUUAACAGAUAAUUUAAAAGUUUUACAUUGUUAAAUUUAAUGUAUGUCUAUAAAGCAGUAGUUAUAGAAUAAUAGAAUAGGACAUCCUCUACUCUUUUUAAAGAUGGUUACAAAGACUAAGUGAGAACUUUCCUCACCAUGGCUACUUUUUAAAAAAAAUAUAUCUUUAUUGGAGUAUAAUUGCUUUACAAUGCUGUGUUAGUUUCUGCUGUAUAACAAAGUGAAUCAGCUAUACGUAUACAUAUAUCCCCAUAUCCCCUCCCUCUUGCGUCUCCCUCCCACCCUCCCUAUCCCACCCCUCUAGAUGGUCAGAAAGCACCGAGCUGAUCUCCCUGUGCUAUGCAAAACGCUGGUAUUUUCUGAUGCAUGAAUGCAGAAGGGAAUGAAGGAAGCAAGAAGGGAUGAGAUGCAGAGACAAAGAAAGGCCUUCAUGGGUUCAAAACCUUUACCUCAAAUGUCCUGAGUCCCCUGCUCCAAUCCCGGAGCCUGUCUAAUCCAGUCCCCAGGCUCCAAGGCUACAUUCUGCCCACAGCGAUACCCACCCCCACCCCAACAACUUCCACCCUUAAUAACCCUGUUAAACCACCACCAGCUCCUCCUCACACCACUCGACCUCUCCCCAUCUCUCCCCCAGCUCACAGUCCAUAAGCCUCACCUACAAACGUCCCAGGAUGCUCUUCUCAGACACAAAUUCCAAAGACAUCCAAACAAGAAGAAGACAAAUGGUGGAAGACAGUGUAUUGAUUUGGGGGCAGCAGCUGAUAUCCUUUGGUCCCAGAUUGAUUUGGGAAGGAUCCCAAAGGAGCGCUCACGCGCCUGGCCUCGUGGGGCAGAAAGGCUGCUGGGGCUGUGCCCGUUGCACAGAGAUCCCUGCUGCUGUUGAGCAGCACGAGAUGCCUUGAGCUGCUAAGUGGGCAGCUUCAGUUUUACUUUUCCUCUCUGGAGUAAAAAGAAAAAAGAACUCUGGCCACGGGUGACAUACAAACGUCAGGCCUGAGUCUAUCUACACAUGGAAAUGACUCCCCAGGCCUCCCUUCUCCACCCCCAUCUCUGGAGAUAAACUGUAAUAAAGUAUUAACAACUGGCUCUGCUCUUCUGAUAGACAAGGGAUGACUCUCUUUUAAAGACCUUUGUGCUCUGUUGUUGCCAAAGCCAUUUAAACUGUGAUCAUUAGCAGCUCUGCCUACAGCGCAGGCCGAGGCGGAUUUCUCUGGAGAGGUUCCAUCAAUCACGUGUUCCUGGUGGGGAGCAGCUGUCUGAGGCUGGGGUGCAGGAGAGCGGGGGCGACGCUUCACUCGCCCGGCCCAGCAGGAAACUUGGUGUUGGCUUUGGGCCUCGGGUGCACCUGGCUGGGAGGUGCCUGACAGCACAGCGGCGAGGCGGGAGGCAGAUGGGGUGGAUGCCUCCCCUUCCCCAAGAAGCCCAAGGGGAAGUUGCUCUCCGGCUCUUAUUGAGACAGGCUGGGACCUGGGACCCUUUGCUGCAGUGUUUGCACCUGGACACAUUUCUCCUGGAGGAACGAAAUACACAGAAGCUCUAUGGGACUAAAAAUAACUGCGUGCAUGUGCAGUUGGGACGAAUUCUGGACCCCAAAGAUAUAAAGAGACCAAAAAACCCAACUGCCACUUUUGAAGAGCCUGGAGCAAAAACAGGGUGUUGGGAGCAAAAGCAGGGUACUGUGCAUGCCCCCUGCACUCAGCACCACCAGAGUGGUGGGUGAAACACGCAACCCCUCCAGCCUGGCACCUGGACACACCCCUACCCUCACCCCAUGUAAGGAGCAAGCUCCCCUCCCCCACCCAGGGAGGGAGCAAGGGAACCUGUUGUCUGUUCUCCCGCCACGCUGCUGUAGCAGGAGCCCCCAGUAAAGCCUUGCCUGAAUUCCUUGUGUGGCCUCUGAUCAAUUUCUGUUGAUUGGGGAAAGCCAAGAACCCUGGUCGGUAACAUUAUGAGGGAUGGCAGUGGCGCAUCUACAGAAGGAGAGAGGUGCACUGGGCCUGAAAUUUUCUGAAGCCCUUGGGGAAAGGGCUGGGAAGGGAAGGAAAGUUCAGGGACAGCUGAGUCCUGUUCUGUUCCCUUUCAAGUCUUGCAUGUUGCAGGAAGCACUUCAGAUGGUGAAAAUGGAAGGAACAGGAAGCUUGUGGAUGGGUGUGUGAAAGGGCAGGGAGACAGAGUUAGGGGGUUAGGGGGUGGGGAGACAAGGGGGAGAAGCAAGAGUGGGGAGAGGACAAGGGGGAGAGAGAACCGAGGCACAGGAGAGUCAGGGGAGGCAUGUUUUGAGGGGUGAGAGCUUAAAAACACGGAUUCAUGAAGAUCAACUAUACUACAAUAUAAAAUAAAAAUUAAAUUAAAUUUUUAAAAAAGGAUGAAUGAAGAAGAGAGGGACUGCUUCCCUUCUUUUUUCUUAUUUUCUCUUUCUUUUCUUUUUUGGCCACACCGCGCGGCACGUGGGAUCUUAGUUCCCCAACCAGGGAUCGAACCUGUGCCCCCUGCAGUGGAGGCGUGGCAUCUUAACCACUGGACCGCCAGGGCACAGCCCCUCUCAAAGAACAUGCUCUACCACAUGCCUGGCAGCCGUGGCAGCACAAUUCUCUUGUUCCUGGAGCCCAAGGAGCAAGCAAAGGACCUGGGGUAGCCAGUCUACAGGCUGCCAAAGCUCUAUGAUGGCCGGAAAAGAGCCUGUCAUCAGCUUUGCUGCACACGGCCCUGGAGGAGCUGAGCUGGCCCUUGUUUAAGGAAAGCCAGCAAAUCCACGCAGAUGUUUUUCUGAGAGCUGUUCCGACCAGGGCUCAGGGAUUUCGCCCUGCCUGGUAUCACAUAGCACGCGGGAGGAUGGGACUUCUCACUGUGGAGCAGGAAGUAUAUUACAAGAAAUCAAAAUAAGGACCCUGAUAACGUGUUUCAAGCAUGUGUCAUACCCCUAAGCCAGCACUUCUCCAGUCAGGCCUCAGGCUGAUGUGAAAGCAGCUUGUAACCAACAGGAAGGCAGAAGGUUCAGGAGGAAACCAAAGCUUCCAUCUCGAGAGACUUGAUUCAUCUGCACCCUCCACAGACUAAGCUUCAGAUGUAUCAUAUGCUGACUUCGCUACAGCUCAGGAUCAUUUUGGACAGAGGUACGAUGAGGUGAUGAGGUCCAACCAAGAGGCUACAGGACUGGGCUUCUCCCCAUCUCCAGAGUCCCACUCAGCACAGGGAUUUAUGUUGGCCUCUCCCAGAACCGUGGUAGGCUACCUAAUGUUUCAGUCAAGUGCAGCUGACUGGGGUCUUUAACUGGUGGUUGGUCAUGGCUGGACCGACCGCUGAUCCUCUGGUAUUUCCAGCAGGUGCAAAGUGGGAAUAAGCCAUCAACUCUGAAUUAAACGAGAAAAGCCCCAGAGAUGAGGCAAACGUUGCUCAAGUUUUAAAAGACAUUUAUUUUGAAGCACCUGCAGUUUGGAAUGAUUUGAAGGACUUCAGUUUCAGGCUCCUCUGCAGCCCAAGUCCAGUAGGAAUCCUGGGGACUGUGCAGCCACUUGGAAGGUGAUAGAAAUUCUAAAAAACUUAUUCUUAGGAAAGUCAUAGCCAAAAACCCCUUCCAGGCAUCUCUAGAUGUGAUUCCUCUUAAAAUCCAGGGGAGGUCCAUGACCAUCUGGCUUCCAAGAUGAAGAAAUCACAACUGUAUCUAAAAGAUACCAGGGCAGCGAGGAAAAUGUGAAAGGUCUGGUCAGUGAACCCAUUUGUUGUAUCUUUGUGACAUCAACCAGUGUUUCAUUUCCCCGGGGUAGCCCUGGUUUUGGGGAAUCAACUUCCAGCCCAGUUCUGCCACUUGCUAACAGUGAGAUUUGGGGGACACCAACCCCCCAUAUCUCUGGCUUCGGUUUACAGACCUAAAAAAUCAGUGUUGGACAGGUUGAGGUUCUUUUAGCCAUAGCAAAAUUGACUCUAUAAAAUACACCGUUUUUUCUGUUGUCAUGGAGACAGACUGGAGCUCCAGUAAGCCCACCAGCUUCCUCACAGGACUUACCUGAGGCCGGUCCCGUCUUCAGAAGCUCAGGGCAGGGAAUCUGUGUGGGACAGGAGCCUGCAGCCUGCAGGCGUCAGGGCAGCUUCACCUCGGGAGGGUCUGUCCUCCAAGCGCACACUCUUCUAAAAGGAGAGAAGUGGAUUUAGUAAACUUUGGGGAGAGGUGAGUGGCCGCGUUCUAAACACUAAAUGAACAGAGGGCUCAGGGACCAAGUUGGCCGACAAGAGUUGUUUUUAAAUCAGUAUUCUGCAAAAGGGGUACAAGAACAUUUUCCCAGGGGCUCUUCAGGCAUUGACAGUCUUGAGGAAAUUAAUUUUCAGAUGCUCGAUUUAAAUUUGUAUUUUUUUCUGCCUAAGAAUAGACCUGUACUUCACAUUUCUCAACGAUUUUUUACCCCAGCCAUCCUUCUCCCACUUUAUAAAAAAACUGCACACCCCUCACCCAUCCUGAAGCUCACAAGGGUGAAAGCCUCCAGGGCACCACACCUCUCCUUCCAGAGAGCCCCUGACAGGGACAGAGGGAAAUGUCCUUAGAAAAUACUGGAGGUAGAGGCCCCGUACUUCACCCAGGCGACAAGGUCAGAUGAAGGUCUUAUGAUUCUCUGCAAGAAUCGGGAUUCAGAAGUGAGACAGUUGUCACAGGGAUGCAAGGAAACUUAUUCGAGUUCAAAAAUGAAGUCAGGCUUUUUCUGAGAGGAAUUGGCUGAUUUGGCUGAUUGGUCUGAGGAGUCUCUGCCUCUAAGUUCUGUGCUGGAUAUUGUCCACGAGGAACUAAAUCUGCAGAUGAAAAAUUUUCACAAACAUAUAUUAAAGCACAUGAAAAAAUAAUAGCCUCCUUUUUAAAAACCGUAUUUGCAAAAAUAACGACACCAAACACGAAGAAAAGCUGUGAAAUAUGCAGAGGGACUGUCAGGUGGCAUCAGCCCCCCGGCCUCUCCAUCCCAUCACCUCUGCCAGCAGCCCAGGCCCGGUUCAGCUGUGUCCUCAGCUGGUCAGACCCCGAGGGAAUUCACUCCGUGUGGAGUCCAUUGGUAAAGCCUGUGGCAGAGGGCUGAGCCUUCCAGAAGUGGUCCACACGUGUCCAAAUAGGGGCGCACUGAAAUCAGCCUGUGCCCCACCCAGGUGGGCGACUCUGACACGCUUUCAGGUUAAACCUCCCAACGGGUUUUAAGCCUAUUUCUUCUAAGGCUAUCUGGGCUUCAGGCGUAAGGAGGAUCAGCAGGGAUCUGAAAAGGAGGUUGAGAACUUGAACAAUUGGGGAAAAAAAAUCAGUAUCCUUAUUUGCUUUGCUUUCAUUUUCAUUCAUUUUUUAUUUUAUUAAUUAAUUUUCCUUCCAAACAGAUAGCUCCUGGCUAAGAUAUCUUCACCCAAGUCACCUUGUUGGUGAUUUGGCUACACCUUAGAACCCAGGUCUUCUCCUGUGUAUUUACCAAGUGUCAGAGCCCCUGGGAAUGGGAUCAUACCAUAGAGACAUAUACUCUUAGGAUCAUUAAAAUCUGAGAGGUGAAACAUUGCUCCCUUGCCUGCUGCAGGGCCUUUGCACAUGCAGUUCGUCUGUCUGGAAUGCUCUCCUCCACCCAUGUCUCUUUCUGGCUAAUUCCUUUUUAUCUUGGAGAAUCCACAGGUCAGAUCAGGCCCCUGUAACUUGCUCUCCUAGCAGACUUGCUUCUUCUUAGCACCAAUCACAACUGUAAUUAAAUAAUUAAUUAGGUGUUUAUUCCCAGGAUCCCUCUUUGGAAUGUAAAUUCCAGGGAGACAGAGACUUUCAACUGUAUAGGCUGAACACUGUAUCGUAAGCGUGUGAUACCAUCCUGCACAUAGUAGAUGCUCAAUAAGUAUUUAUGGCAUAAAUGCAACUUACUUCCUCUCACCUCACCUUUUACAAUAUUUUCAAAAUUUUAUUCCCCCUUUCAGGCCAAGGUUAAAUGUUAUCUCCUCAGUAAAGCCUUUUGACAACGAUCCAACACGUAAAUUAACCACUCAUUCCUCUCUGUUCCCAUAGCCUGUUAUACAUAAGACACAAUAGCAUCUGACUGAACCAUAUGAAAUUGUCGGUUUUUAAUAGACCAAAGUGGUUGAAUGUCUGCAAUUUCAUGUGAUUAAAUCUAACGGUUCAUAAAAAAUCAACAAGCAAUAAAUACUGGAGAGGGUGUGGAGAAAAGGGAACCCUCUUGCACUGUUGGUGGGAAUGUAAAUUGAUACAGCCACUAUGCAGAACAGUAUGGAGGUUCCUUAAAAAACUAAAAAUAGAGCUACUAUAUGACCCAGCAAUCCCACUCCUGAGCAUAUACCCAGAGAAAACGUUAAUUCGAAAAGAUACGUGCACCCCAAUGUUCAUUGCAACACUAUUUACAAUAGCCAGGACAUGGAAGCAACCUAAAUGUCCAUCAACAGAAGAAUGGAUAAAGAAGAUGUGGUACAUAUAUACAAUGGAAUAUUACUCAGCCAUAAAAAUGAAUGAAAUUGGGUCAGCUGCAGAGACGUGGAUGGACCUAGAGACUGUCAUACAGAGUGAAUUAAGUCAGAAAGAGAAAAACAAAUAUCAUAUAUUAACACAUAUGUGGAAUCUAGAAAAAUGGUAUAGAUGAUCUUAUUUGCAAAGCAGAAAUAGAGACACAGACGUAGAGAACAAACGUAUGGACACCAAGGAGGGGAAAGGCCGGGGUGGGAUGAAUUGGGAGAUUGGGAUUGACAUACAUACACUAUUGAUACUAUCUAUAAAAUAGAUAACUAAUGAGAAUCUACUGUAUAGCACAGGGAAUUCUACUCAAUGAAAGAGGGGAUAUAUGUAUACAUAUAGCUGAUUCACUUUGCUG
Long non-coding RNA from Orcinus orca (killer whale), 6929 nucleotides. RefSeq lists it as uncharacterized. The record is from RefSeq and is a predicted model, not a curated record. The transcript is spliced from 7 exons. Lineage: Eukaryota; Metazoa; Chordata; Mammalia; Artiodactyla; Delphinidae.